Molecule: ribosomal RNA, 597 nt
Filed under: Entamoeba bovis
Lineage: Eukaryota; Evosea; Mastigamoebida; Endamoebidae
Description: partial small subunit ribosomal RNA
Rfam family: Eukaryotic small subunit ribosomal RNA
Source: RNAcentral
CAAAAUCUGUAAAUAGAAAAAAAAAAAAAAAAAAAAAUUUUUUUUGUUGUUCUUCCCGGUAUUUUUUGCUAAUUUAAAGAUUAACCCUUCCAUUUUAAAUUUUUAAGACCAGUUAGAUUAAACCGCCGGCGGGCCCAUAUAACCGUUAUUAUUUUUUUUGUUUAUUGGGUACAAGAUAACUUUUGGAAAUAAAUAAAUUAUUCUUGGAACGACCCCGGAAAUUAUAAUACUUUUUGGCCCCUGGCCGCAAGGUUGGGGAAAAAAGACAUUUUUUUGUGAAAAAGGAUGCCGCGACAAUUGAGGAAAGCGACGCUUUUAACAAGUAACCAAUGGGAAUUUCUGAUCUAUCAAUUUGUUGGUAGUAUCGAGGACUACCAAGAUUAUAACGGAUAACGAGGAAUUGGGGUUCGACAUCGGAGAGGGAGCUUUACAGAUGGCUACCACUUAUAAGGAAGGCAGCAGGCGCGUAAAUUACCCACUUUCGACCCGAAGAGGUAGUGACGACAAAUAACUCUUGGCGCCCCUCGGGGUGACUGAAGGAAUGAUUUAGAAGUAAAUUCUCUAAAGAAAUCAAUGGAGGCAAGUCUGCCCCCCCGA